GGGGAUGUGGCGCAGUCUGGUAGCGCACCUCGUUCGCAUCGAGGGGGUCAGGGGUUCGAGUCCCCUCAUCUCCAC
This 75-nucleotide transfer RNA is filed under the name Rhizocola hellebori. Its description in RNAcentral is "tRNA-Ala". It matches the Rfam family "tRNA". Rfam says of the family: Transfer RNA (tRNA) molecules are approximately 80 nucleotides in length. Lineage: Bacteria; Bacillati; Actinomycetota; Actinomycetes; Micromonosporales; Micromonosporaceae. The record is from RNAcentral.